GAUGAACGCUGGCGGCGUGCCUAACACAUGCAAGUCGAGCGAACGGACGAGAAGCUUUCUUCUUUGAUGUUAGCGGCGGACGGGUGAGUAAAACGUGGAUAACCUACCUAUAAGACUGGGAUAACUUCGGGAAACCGGAGCUAAUACCCGCUAAUAUUUUCAACCGCAUGGUUCAAAAGUUAAAGACGGCCUUCCUGCCACUUAUAGAUGGAUCCGCGGUGCAUUAGCUAGUUGGUAAGGUAACGGCUUACCAAGGCAACGAUUCAUAGCCGACCUGAGAGGGUGAUCGGCCACACUGGAACUGAGACACGGUCCAGACUCCUACGGGAGGCAGCAGUAGGGAAUCUUCCGCAAUGGGCGAAAGCCUGACGGAGCCACGCCGCGUGAGUGAUGAAGGCCUUCGGAUCGUAAAACUCUGUUAUUAGGGAAGAACAUAUGUGUAAGUAACUGUGCACAUCUUGACGGUACCUAAUCAGAAAGCCACGGCUAACUCCGUG
Molecule: ribosomal RNA, 497 nt
Filed under: uncultured bacterium
Lineage: Bacteria
Description: partial 16S ribosomal RNA
Rfam family: Bacterial small subunit ribosomal RNA
Source: RNAcentral